Scylla paramamosain (green mud crab) is the source of this 1221-nucleotide long non-coding RNA. RefSeq lists it as uncharacterized. The transcript has 4 exons. NCBI's taxonomy places the organism in Eukaryota, Metazoa, Arthropoda, Malacostraca, Decapoda, Portunidae. The record is from RefSeq and is a predicted model, not a curated record.
UAUAUAUAUAUCAAAACAUUACAUAUAUAAAAAAUGGGAAAAAAAAUGUAGAAAAUAAAAAAAUAAAAAAAAAAUUCAUAUCCGGAUCGUACAACGACACCCUUGAUGCAAAACAUGUUUGCGCGCCUGACAAUGUUAAGACACACGACACACACUUCCCUUGAGAAAAGAUGAUAGCCUUCACGAGUGUCUUACUAUUUCUUUGCAGAGCCCCUCUUCUUGAUGACGACGCGUACACUGUCAGCUACACUUUGCAGUGUCUCACUUAAAUUUUUCUCUAUCUUUGUAUCUCUCCAUUUCAGAUAAAUUGUUAUCUUUCCAAGGGUUGAGGAGAACAUGGUCGUGGUUCAAGUGAAGCCACUACAGCCACUCCCUGACAAGCCUUCCACACCGACAGACAGUGGCAGCAGACACACAAGAGACGAUGGUGUGGUGGACAAGAGGAUGCAGGGAGACAGCAGACAGAAUGGAAGUUACAGAUGAAAGAAGAGCAGGUCAAGCCAUGGCAGCAGACACAUAGACAGACAGAUUGGAUAAGAAAGAAGUAUUAUUUAGUGAGACAGGACCACUGGAAGCUGUCAGAGUGCUGUGGCACGUGGCAAGAACCAAGUGUUCAGGAGCACACACUGUCCCUUUACCAGUCAGCAGGUCUGGGCGGCUUGGAAGCCUCACUACAAACUGAAGACCCGUUCACUUGAAGGACACAGUUGGAGUCGGACACAAGAUCCAAGAGGGAGUUAUUUUUAAACGAGAGCUUCAGGCAGAAAAUUCGAGUGGAUUUUCAACUCUAAAAAUAACUUUUUUGGGGGGAUAUUUUGAACCUUCUUUAUCUUGAAAAAUAACUCCAGAUAUUAUGACUCUAGCUGGAAGUUGACCUGAGCAAUGUAGGGUUUGCUGCAGUGAGAUUACCAAGGCACGAGUGUCUGGGAUUUAAAAAUGAUGGAUAUGUGUCCUGUGUGCUGCUGUGCUGGGAGGAGAGGAGCAGCAGCAGUCGUGGGGCUCUGUUGCUGCUGUCAUUGGUGCAGCCGUUCACUCCUGCAGCUACCUUCCCUCAACAUACUGUGUCUUCCCUCACCUGCAAUGAACAACUAUGAACAAUACUUCUCCUGCGAUGAGGAACAGUGAAUAACACCUCUCUCUCUCUCUCUCUCUCUCUCUCUCUCUCUCUCUCUCUCUCUCUCUCUCUCUCUCUCUCUCUCUCUCUCUCUCUCUCUCUCUCUC